UGGGAAUAUUGGACAAUGGGCGCAAGCCUGAUCCAGCAAUUCCGCGUGGGUGAAGAAGGUCUUCGGAUUGUAAAGCCCUUUCGGCAGGGAAGAUUGUGACGGUACCUGCAGAAGAAGCCCCGGCUAACUUCGUGCCAGCAGCCGCGGUAAUACGAAGGGGGCUAGCGUUGCUCGGAAUUAUUGGGCGUAAAGGGCGCGUAGGCGGCCUUGUUUGUCAGGCGUGAAAUUCCUGGGCUUAACCUGGGGGCUGCGCUUGAGACGGCAGGGCUUGAGGAUGGAAGAGGGGUCGCGGAAUUCCCAGUGUAGAGGUGAAAAUUUCGUAGAUAUUGGGAAGAACACCGGUGGCGAAGGCGGCGACCUGGUCCAUUACUGACGCUGAGGCGCGACAGCGUGGGGAGCAAACAGGAUUAGAUACCCUGGUAGUCCACGCCGUAAACGAUGUGCGCUGGAUGUUGGGGCCCUUAGGGCUUCAGUGUCGUAGCCAACGCGAUAAGCGCACCGCCUGGGGAGUACGGCCGCAAGGUUGAAACUCAAAUGAAUUGACGGGGUCAUAGCUGUUUCCU
RNAcentral lists this ribosomal RNA (563 nucleotides) under uncultured bacterium. RNAcentral describes it as "partial 16S ribosomal RNA". It matches the Rfam family "Bacterial small subunit ribosomal RNA", at positions 356 to 1375 of the family's 1533-position model. The record is from RNAcentral.